AAAAGAAUAAAUUUGGGCCACUAUAACAAAAGAACGAGUGCUGUUGAGGUCUCGUACGUAUUCGUGUCCAACACGAAAAGCAAAGAAAAGAAAAAGAAAAUAAGAACAAAAGUACGGUGGAGAGUGGUGAAGCAGAGCGACAAUUGAAGUGAGAGAAAGAAAGAAAACAGUUGAUACCGACUACCGAGUAAGAAGAGAAAUCCGAGCUUCGAAUUUACAAUGGAUGUGAUAAAGACGCAGCAAAU
RNAcentral lists this long non-coding RNA (245 nucleotides) under Cicer arietinum (chickpea). RNAcentral describes it as "long non-coding RNA (CARI_LNC002619)". Lineage: Eukaryota; Viridiplantae; Streptophyta; Magnoliopsida; Fabales; Fabaceae. The record is from RNAcentral.